Oryza glaberrima (African rice) is the source of this 210-nucleotide non-coding RNA. Lineage: Eukaryota; Viridiplantae; Streptophyta; Magnoliopsida; Poales; Poaceae. The record is from Rfam.
AAUAAACGUAACCAUGCAUGAGUUUCCGUGUCCAACUUUGAUCGCUCCGUCUUAUUUGAUUUUUUAAGAUUAGUUUUAUUAGUAUUAUCAUUAUUAUUAGAUUAUAAAACAUUAAUAGUACUUUAUGCUUGACUUAUGUUUUUUAGUUUUUUUAAAUUAAAUAAGACGAACAAUUAAAGUUGGAUAUAGAAAGUCAUGGCCACGCUUAUU